Molecule: long non-coding RNA, 1617 nt
Organism: Lontra canadensis (Northern American river otter)
Lineage: Eukaryota; Metazoa; Chordata; Mammalia; Carnivora; Mustelidae
Exons: 3
Source: RefSeq, a predicted model, not a curated record
CCGGCGGCAGCAACCCACCUAUAUGUAAUGGAGAGCGCCUCUAGCCACGGGGCUGCUCAUUUGGCCUUGUUAAAUCACCCCCAGCAUAUGGUGAGAGACAUCUGCCCAGGAUUUGGACCUCACAGACUGGAAGAGGAGGGCUCCGCACAGACACUUUGAGGCUGGAGAGGAUGGAGGCAGCUGGGGAGGCGAUUCUAGAGCAAGGGCCUCACUUCUCUGAGGAGCUGGGAUUCUGAGAAAGAAGGGACUGGCUCAAGGUCAUGCAGUAGCCUACGGUUAGAUCUGUAGGGGACAAUUCAUUUUGGUUCUUUGAGCCUCUGUUUAUUUAUCUGUGAAGUGGGGUGGACAUAUAACUUACGGCCUGGAUGUGAGGGUUCGAUGAGAUCAUUUAAGGGAAUGGGCCCUGCUCAGUGCAUUUUAGUCGAACGUAUUUCUCGGUCUUCAGGGUGUAAGGGUCAAAGGCAGCCACUGACAGUGUUACGUUUUCAAGAGGCUUCAGAAAAGAUCCAAUACCUUCCCAAAUCCUGCUUCCGCUUCUUAGGGCUGGAGGGAACUGCAUCCUCUUGGCUACUGUUUGAGUCCAAUUACAAUGCAGCCUCACUUGCAAUGGAUAAAAAUGUGAACCAUGGAAGGCUGACUUCUAGGAUUCUGAGAAAGGCAAAAUGGAGAAACUGGGCCACUCCGUGUUGCUGGAUCAAGCCAUAACUGAAGACAGUGCUACCUUUGGACUUUUUAUUUGGAAAUUACAUCAAAUUGGGAUCCUCUCGCUGCUAGAGUUUGGUACACAUCAUGAAAAACUUGCCAGACAUUUCGAGAGCAGCGUCAUCUCAUUUCAAUGGCCAAAAACCUCAAAAUAAGCCAAAGAAGACUGAUAAGGCCUCACGCUCAACCCCUUUGGAAGCUGUGUGGUGUUUUUAUUCUGCUGGGAGGGACAAGCAAAUGAAUUACCAGAUCUUAAAACCUCAGUCACUGCCUUAGGAACCAUUAGAAGGACAGGGAGAGAGAAAACAAAUACGGACUCAAGACGGUACAAAGGAAUUCGACACAAACAGUUGAGAGGCUUUUCUGAAUUUGGGGGCACACGGGUAUAUGGAUGUGAUUUCUAAAGCAGCGGCUAGAAUGGGACCCUAGCAAUUAAAAAAAAAAAAUCUCAAAGAAUCCACCCUUGAAAAACCUGGGUAACACCAAUGGAGCCGUAUUGCCACCCCAGAUGGCCAAAUGGGGUAAACAUAUCACUUUAAUUUAAAUUUUCUGGCUAUUUGACAAUAGGCAACCUCUGGUCCUCUUUCCCAACCUUCAAACACUGCUUAUCUCCCCAUUGCAGGACCUAUUGAUUUCAGCCCAGAGCGAAUGCAUUACAGCCAAGUGAUAAAUUGCUUAAAAUUAUUCUUCAAUGAAAACACUGGAAACCUCCGAUGUGGCUUUUUGAAUGGAGGGUGGGCAGGACAAUUUCCAAACUGUCCGGAUCAGAGAUGCUUUCUGCCGAUUGAUUCCUUCUUCAGCAGCUAUGUUGCUAACCUGCAGAGCCCAUCGUCUGCACCCAGCACUGAGGGCUUACCCAAUUCAUGAUGCUAGAGAAAGGUUUUUCCCUACCGCCAGUCCUUGCUCCGGGCUACC